This 585-nucleotide ribosomal RNA is filed under the name uncultured bacterium. RNAcentral describes it as "partial 16S ribosomal RNA". It matches the Rfam family "Bacterial small subunit ribosomal RNA", at positions 355 to 1375 of the family's 1533-position model. The record is from RNAcentral.
UGGGGAAUUUUGGACAAUGGGCGAAAGCCUGAUCCAGCAAUGCCGCGUGUGUGAAGAAGGCCUUCGGGUUGUAAAGCACUUUUGUCCGGAAAGAAAUCCUUGGCUCUAAUACAGUCGGGGGAUGACGGUACCGGAAGAAUAAGCACCGGCUAACUACGUGCCAGCAGCCGCGGUAAUACGUAGGGUGCAAGCGUUAAUCGGAAUUACUGGGCGUAAAGCGUGCGCAGGCGGUUUGCUAAGACCGAUGUGAAAUCCCCGGGCUCAACCUGGGAACUGCAUUGGUGACUGGCAGGCUAGAGUAUGGCAGAGGGGGUAGAAUUCCACGUGUAGCAGUGAAAUGCGUAGAGAUGUGGAGGAAUACCGAUGGCGAAGGCAGCCCCCUGGGCCAAAUACUGACGCUCAUGCACGAAAGCGUGGGGAGCAAACAGGAUUAGAUACCCUGGUAGUCCACGCCCUAAACGAUGUCAACUAGUUGUUGGGGAUUCAUUUCCUUAGUAACGUAGCUAACGCGUGAAGUUGACCGCCUGGGGAGUACGGUCGCAAGAUUAAAACUUAAAGGAAUUGACGGGGUCAUAGCUGUUUCCU